GAGGUUAUUAACCUUAAUGCCUUCCUCCUCGCUGAAAGUACUUUACAACCCGAAGGCCUUCUUCAUACACGCGGCAUGGCUGCAUCAGGCUUGCGCCCAUUGUGCAAUAUUCCCCACUGCUGCCUCCCGUAGGAGUCUGGACCGUGUCUCAGUUCCAGUGUGGCUGGUCAUCCUCUCAGACCAGCUAGGGAUCGUCGCCUAGGUGAGCCAUUACCCCACCUACUAGCUAAUCCCAUCUGGGCACAUCCGAUGGCAAGAGGCCCGAAGGUCCCCCUCUUUGGUCCGAAGACGUUAUGCGGUAUUAGCUACCGUUUCCAGUAGUUAUCCCCCUCCAUCGGGCAGUUUCCCAGACAUUACUCACCCGUCCGCCACUCGUCAGCGAAGCAGCAAGCUGCUUCCUGUUACCGUUCGACUUGCAUGUGUUAGGCCUGCCGCCAGCGUUCAUCU
Molecule: ribosomal RNA, 447 nt
Filed under: Pluralibacter sp.
Lineage: Bacteria; Pseudomonadati; Pseudomonadota; Gammaproteobacteria; Enterobacterales; Enterobacteriaceae
Description: partial 16S rRNA
Source: RNAcentral